Sus scrofa (pig) is the source of this 3207-nucleotide long non-coding RNA. RefSeq lists it as uncharacterized. The record is from RefSeq and is a predicted model, not a curated record. NCBI's taxonomy places the organism in Eukaryota, Metazoa, Chordata, Mammalia, Artiodactyla, Suidae.
CGGCGGGCCUUUCAGGUCUCCCAGCCUUGUGAGGAGUUUCUUGAUCUUUUUUAGUUUUACUUCCCCUGCAGUUCUUUCUAGGCUCUUACCUUCUUAUCACUUUUUUGUUUUGCUGCGGUUUGCAUAGGAGCUCCUUCCAUCUCCUUCUGUCUCACUUGUGUGUUUAUCCGUUAAUCAACAAAAAACCACCCUUCUUCCUAUUUUUUCUCUUUGAAUUCUUAAGAGCUCUGGAAGUCAGAUUUAGGUCGGAAACCUGCUUCUACCCGAUACUACCUGGUGACCUGGCUAAUCGCUUCUCCAUGCCCUCAGUAUUUUCCUCUGUCCAGUCAGGGCUUGAAAACUGUAAAAGCCCCUGUGUCCUUGUGUUUUGAAGUAAAAGGCUUUUCCUUUAGCCUUCCAGGCCUCCCCUCAGUCUCAAAAGGCUGACUCAAGACCUAAUGAUUAGGAAACCCUGUUAUAGCUAAAAACUAGUUAAUAGCAGUCUAUUACGUUAUGCCCUGCCUUGGGCACACUAACUUACUCUGGCUUUUCACAAAUAAUUUUUCCUUGCUUGUUUUUUACUAAUGAUUACUUUCAUUAGAGUUAAAGUGCAUGCCUAGUGUUUUCGUUUCCUUUGAAACACUCCUUAAAACCUCCUUCUUUUGUGGGCAACUUUCACUGCCAAGAGAAAGUCCAGGUGCAAUAACCCCAAAGACCACCAGAACCCAUCACUGACCACCUGACUGUGGCCUUGAUGACUUUGAAAUAGUCUCGGUCUGUGCACAUGGGUCAGAAGAAGAAUUUCUGAACUCAUAUCAGAGUGAAAAGAAAGAAGAGUUUAUUGAGCAUGUAAUUUCUACUCUGAGGAAUUAUUUUGGGGAAGGAGAAGUGUACAAUCCUGGGAUGUCAUGACGCCUUGGCCAACAUCUGGGUAUCUGGGAAUCAUAUUGUGUUCCUUGUAUGUUUGCAUUUGUCUUAUGUGUACACAUAUGUGGCAGCUAUGGGAAACUCAGAUUUGUCUCCUGAAUGCAGCCCCUUGAGAUGCGGUCUCCAGAAUUGGACCACUUUUGGUUACAAGCCAAUGAUAGGAAUGCUUAUUGACAAGUUGUAACAUGUUUUUACUGUUCAGACAAAAUCCAGAACAGGGUAAGAGUGACUUUUCCUCUGCCAAAGGUGUCUUGGGUCAUUGGAUCAGGAAGAGACAUAGUAAAACUAUAAGCAGAAAAGGGGUUGGGGAUGGGGGGAAUCCCUGGGGAAAGAGAACCAGGUGCGGUUUUAUUGACAUAAGAGAAGCUGUUUUUGGACUAAGCCAUUUUGUGAUCAAAGCCUAGCGUUAAUGAUGGCCCUUGAACAGGUCUCAGUAAUCAAUAAUCUUAAGGGGAGAAUGCAGAAACAAAAACUAUCAUCAGGCAAGAGAAGUAACAGUAGCAAAGAUAACAUAUCAGUUUAAACUAUCCCAGUUCUAUUUCAAUGGUAAAGAUUAACUCAAGGCCUCAACCACCCAAUCAGCUGGAACCUGGGAUGAUGAUGCUGUUGACCUUUUCUGACCCUCAUGACUUCAAUCAAGUAAAACUUGGGCUCUGUCCACCACCUAGGCCCCUUCAUGAAUAUGCAUGUGCCCUUAGCUUAAACCUUCCCCAAUUUUGCUCCUUCUGGAGACACUGCUUUGGGGAAGAUCCCCAGUAUUCCUCUUACCUGCUGAAAAUCAUAAAUCUUUCCUUCUACCAAUCUCUGGGUUGGCCGUCUUUUGGCUCUAUGCCAAGAAGGGAACAUAAUUUUUUGGGUAAAAAAUUCACAAGAAGGGGGAAAAAAAGGAUUUAGCAAGAGCAGGCCUUAGAGGGUAAGGAUAGGGCAACUUUGUAUGAAAAACAGAACUGGUGGUAACUUGGAUGUCAUAAUGGUUCUGGCCACAUUCAGAGAAUAACUGUGUCUUUAACGGUCCUCCUUGGGAAAUCUACCAGCCAUUCCAACAGGUCAUAAGUGAGCAGAGAAGUCACACGAGGGUACGUGUAUCCCAAUAUACCCAUUCUGCUUUAUUUAGAAAGUUAGGGAUGGAAAGCAUGAGUAGAAUGGAGCUUAGUUGGGGCUGGAGUUAGGAACUGGAAGUUUCUAACUGAAGGGUGACCUUGGGCCAGACUAUGAGGGGUUGAGGAGAUACAUCGAGGAUGCUCCAGUGGCCCAAAACAAAAGCACACUCCAGGGAUCUAAAAUGAACAUUUUCCUGAAUGAGUUAACCUAUUCCCUAUAUUGAAAAAUGAGAAAUGAAACCAAAUUAAGCAUCUCAAAUCCUUUUAGAUUUAUUUUAUUAUAUGUGCAUAUUCAAACACAGAAGUCUUUCAUAAAUAUCUUUCAUAAACAUUUUAGUAUUUAUUCAUAUGCAUUUUUUCCAUGCUCUUUGGUCAUUCAGUAAUCAUAACAAACUUCAUAGUCAUCUGAGGGAAGUUGGCUGUGUAGUCAGUUUUUUGUUUUUACCUAUAAAAUGGCUAAGAAAGGAUUUUCAUCCUGUGGUCACAGUGAGUAUUGGAAAAUAUGGAGGUACAUGGAUCUGUGAUCCUAAAUGAUCCUACAAUAAGUAAAUUUUUCUUAACCUUUUCCAAAUACAUUAUGCCCUAAACAUGUUUUUAUUCUCCUGAGUGUCCAAACUUUGUUUCUGAAAUACUGCAGUUAGGACCCACAAAGUAAAUGAGGAAGUGACACUUUCUAUUCACUCCCAAGACAAGGCCAUGGAAUUAGAAGUGUGAAGUCACAGGGCAACAGCAUGAUGUGAUAGCAGCAAAUUCUGGAGACUAUUAAAGUCUCCUGUAUAACUUAAGAAAGGGUAUUUAAUGUCAAUUUUGGACUGUCAUUUAUGCCCCUUUCUUCCCUAUAGGUCCCUAUGUACAGUCUAUUCCCAUCUCAGAUACCCUCAGAGCUGGGCAGCAGAGUGGAGAAUGUUUUUACCAACUAAAGGGACGGGUACUAAAGAAGGAAGGAAAUAUCAUCCGGCCUAAGAUACUCUUUCUUGCUUGAAAUGGCAAACCAGCUACUCCCAGCCUGUGUGCAACAGACCCUAACCAGACCCCCAGACUCCACAGAUUCCCCCCACCCAGUACUGCCAUGCCCAUUUAUGGUUUUGACACUAUAGUUCCCAGUGCCUUGUCUCAAUGUAUUCAAUAGCUCCUUUUUAGGAAAAAAAAAAAAAAAAAAAAAAAAGCUUAUCUAAUAGAAUUAUAGAAAGCAGCAAAUAUU